GCAUGCGCCCCCCCUCGGGCCGCCCCGGCGCACCUUUUCUCCCUCUUGCCACUGUGCGAGCGCCCCGCCGCCCACAGAACCGCCGACUCCCGCUCCACCCCCGCCCUCCGCCCACUCCGCCCACUCCCGAGCGCCCAGGACCCUGGCACUUGCUGCUGUGUAUCUGAAGCCUUGGUGACUAGUAGUUUGGAAGGCCUUGGGCCUCAGGGCAGGCAAGGAGAUCCCAGUUCCUCUGCUGUCUCUUAGAUGUUCCCUUCACAAACCUACCAAAAGAAGGGGGCUGCCAACCAAUGUCAUCACUCGACCUGUCACAAGAAGAGGGCAUUUGCUCUCAGUCAGACUGCUCGUUCUGGUGCCUCCUUCUUCAGUGGCUGGCACUGCAGCCUGGCAGUCAUUGCAACAUUUAGCACCCACAUCUGGCCUUAUUGGAAAAUCAGGCUUCUCUUAUCCUGGUUUCCUGGACUGGGAUAUUCUUCACUAACUUUCUCCUGAAGGUACUGGGCAGAAAACAACAGAACCCAUUUUUAAAAUUUAUUUAUUUACUUCUUUUUUUUUUUUUUUUUUUUUUUUGCAGUGGAAGAUUUGCCCUGAGCUAACAUCUGUGCCAAUCUUCCUCUAUUUUGUGUGUGGGUCACCACCACAGCAUGGCUGACAAGUGGUAGUCUCUGAAAUGGUGCUUAAAAAGGGUGAACACAGAAAUGUAGAAGUCAGCCACCACAAGAUGUCUAACCAAUUUUGAUGUGAAAACUCAAGUCCCACCUGAGAACACCAGGCUGAAUGCUGUGCUGCAGAGGAGAGCGGCCUGGACAUGGCCACCUCGUGGCCAUCUGCAUAAAGCCCCAGUUAGUGGCAAGAUUGAGCCUUACCCUGCAAACAAGGGCAAAGGAGAAGCAGGAGGGUGGAAUUUGCAGUGUCUCAUCUUGGUGAGAUAGUUGGAAGACUUUUCUACCAAUUAUAAUGGUUAAACACUGACUCAACAUCCAACAACUGCAUGAGCGGUCAGAGCGUUCAUUCAUGGGCAAGUUUCAAAAUGAGACCCGGAGCACCACCUGUCAUGGACGAUGGAGCCAGAGAACAGAGGGGUGGAUUUCACACCCAGAAAGGUGGCUGCUUUCUGGAGAGUCUGCAGGAGCCAAUACUUCCUAACACGGUGACAUUGGGAACUCAACUAAUCUUUCCCUCAUCUCCAGAAGGAAGAGAAGGACCAAGGUGAUGGAAGAGGCAGCCACGCUCUAGAAUACAAGCAUCCAUUGUUCUCAGAGGUGAACGUGAUACACAGUAUUUCAGAUGUGUGGAACUGAUAAAGUAGGAAACCG
Molecule: long non-coding RNA, 1316 nt
Filed under: Equus asinus (donkey)
Lineage: Eukaryota; Metazoa; Chordata; Mammalia; Perissodactyla; Equidae
Description: lncRNA (ENSEASG00005025682.1)
Source: RNAcentral